GAACACUCAGACGCAGGAAACAGCAGCAAGCAAGAGGUAACAUAGGGAGAGAUCAGUGUGUGUGACAGAAAGACCUGGGAUGGCAGGUAACAGACUGCAUCCGCUCACACACUCAGGAACCUGCAGCUCUUACACCUGCCCGCUGAACAACAGGCUCCCUAGGCAGGCAGCCUGGUGGUCCGGAGUGCGGCCUCUGGUAUCCACCUGAGUCUGCUCAGGGAGCGUUCCAACGAGCUCAGCAACUUCAAAUUGCUGCCUGUUUUGAGAACCUGGGGAGAAGCCCUGGGAGCCUCCCGCCCAACCCCAGGAGGUCACUGUUGCAAGAGCCGGUUCAGAAGACAGGUUUUGAUGAGUAAAGGUUCAAAAUCUCCCUCCCACUCCACCAAGAGAACAAAGGAAGGGAGCCAGGAAGGGACUUAGCCGCAAGUUUUAAGGUUUCGCAGCUUUGUCAGCCUGAGUGGUAGGGUCCAGACGCGCCUGGAUCUGAUCAGCACGUUGGACAGCGCUCCCUCGCCCGAGGGCUCUUUGUUCGCGCAGUCAGGACUGGCACUCGACAGUCCCCGAGCCUGGCGGGAGAGGCGAUUCCAAACCAAGUCUCCCAGCCUUGCGUGUAAGUGACAGCAGCAAGGUGUCAUGAAAACUUUCCCUCUUACACAAGGGGAAACUGUCAGGAUUUUUUUAAAUCAUAAAAUAUUUCCUUUGCCAUAAUUAAGCAAGGAGCGCAUUGUUCCUCUAAGCUUUAUUUCAUAAAAGAUCUGUGAGGAGGAUACUUGU
Molecule: long non-coding RNA, 774 nt
Filed under: Bos taurus (domestic cattle)
Lineage: Eukaryota; Metazoa; Chordata; Mammalia; Artiodactyla; Bovidae
Description: long non-coding RNA NONBTAT005518
Source: RNAcentral